CUACGGGCGGCAGCAGGCGAGAAAACUUUGCAAUGUGCGAAAGCACGACAAGGUUAAUCCGAGUGGUUUCUGCUAAAGGAACCUUUUGUCGGUCCUAGAAACACCGAUGAAUAAGGGGUGGGCAAGUUCUGGUGUCAGCCGCCGCGGUAAAACCAGCACCUCAAGUGGUCAGGAUGAUUAUUGGGCCUAAAGCAUCCGUAGCCGGCUCUGUAAGUUUUCGGUUAAAUCUGUACGCUCAACGUACAGGCUGCCGGGAAUACUGCAGAGCUAGGGAGUGGGAGAGGUAGACGGUACUCGGUAGGAAGGGGUAAAAUCCUUUGAUCUAUUGAUGACCACCUGUGGCGAAGGCGGUCUACCAGAACACGUCCGACGGUGAGGGAUGAAAGCUGGGGGAGCAAACCGGAUUAGAUACCCCCGUAGUC
RNAcentral lists this ribosomal RNA (422 nucleotides) under uncultured archaeon. RNAcentral describes it as "partial 16S ribosomal RNA". It matches the Rfam family "Archaeal small subunit ribosomal RNA", at positions 323 to 746 of the family's 1478-position model. The record is from RNAcentral.